UUCUAGGGAUAUGCUACUCUUAAGUGGCCUGAUUUGGUUUGAUCUUGGAAGCUAAACAGGGCUGGACCUCCUUAGUAGUGGGAUGGGAAACCACCUGUGAAUAUUGGGAGCCUUCGACU
RNAcentral lists this ribosomal RNA (119 nucleotides) under Phascolarctos cinereus (koala). The record is from RNAcentral. Lineage: Eukaryota; Metazoa; Chordata; Mammalia; Diprotodontia; Phascolarctidae.